RNA transcript from Jatropha curcas, 1651 nucleotides. It is a transcript of the gene named Leucine-rich repeat (LRR) family protein, with no coding region annotated. Lineage: Eukaryota; Viridiplantae; Streptophyta; Magnoliopsida; Malpighiales; Euphorbiaceae. The record is from RefSeq and is a predicted model, not a curated record.
UAUCGUUUUGUUAAAUUCAAGUGAAACGACUUGUCAGCCAACUAAAAAAAAACCGCUUACACCAAAUAAGAAAAAAGAAAAAUCUCUCUCUUCAAUCGCUCGCUAGAAAAUCCUCUCUGCUUCUUCAUCUUUUUCUCUCUUUAAUAGCUCGCUUGAAAUUGGAAAGAUCUUCCCUUUUUAUCUGCGGCUCAUUAUCGUUCCUCUGUUAUUUCUCUUCGAUACCAAAUUAACAGGAAGCAUCUGUUAAUGGAUGGACAAAACCAACCGCUGGGGGAAUUGGAUCUGGAGACUGAUGAUCAGACAGUAGAAUUCGAUCCGUCAAGUAGUGUUCUUGACCUCACCAGUUUUCAGCUUCAUGAUCUUGGCUCAGUCGAGUUAUCUCCGAGUCUUACUGAGUUGGACUUGACCUCAAAUCGCUUAUCGAGCUUGGACUCUAGAAUUUUGCAUCUCUCUAACCUGAAAAAGCUUUCUCUUCGGCAGAACCUUAUUGAUGAUGCUGCCAUUGAGCCCCUUUCUAGUUGCGAACCCUUAGUGGGCCUUGAGGAGCUGGUGCUGAGGGAUAAUAAAUUAAUUAAAAUACCUGAUGUUAGCAUAUUCAAGAGCCUCUUAGUUUUUGAUGUUUCUUUCAAUGAAAUCAGGUCCUUGCAGGGACUUUCCAAGGCCUCCAAUACUCUGAAGGAACUCUAUGUAUCUAAAAAUGAAGUUACUAAGAUGGAGGAGAUUGACCACCUUUAUCAAUUACAAAUUCUUGAACUUGGUUCCAAUCGAUUACGGGUGAUGGAGAAUUUGAAAAAUUUAACAAAUUUACAGGAGCUGUGGCUGGGACGGAAUCGUAUCAAAACAAUUAACCUUUGUGGGCUGAAAUACAUAAGGAAGCUUAGCUUGCAAAGCAAUCGCUUAACUUCUAUGAAAGGAUUAGAGGAAUGUGUUGCUUUAGAAGAGCUAUAUUUAAGUCAUAAUGGUAUUGCUAAAAUGGAAGGCCUUUCAACCUUGGUCAAACUCUCCGUUCUGGAUGUAUCAUCUAACAAGUUAACUUCAGUGAAUGACAUUCAGAACCUGACCCACUUAGAAGAUCUAUGGCUUAAUGACAACCAGAUAGAAUCACUUGACGGAAUUGAAGAGGCCAUUGCUGGUUCAAGAGAGAAACUAACCACAAUCUACAUUGAAAACAAUCCAUGUACAAGAUCUCCAAAUUAUGGCAUCAUUUUGAGACAGAUUUUCCCUAAUAUUCAGCAAAUUGAUUCAAACGUAUUUGCUUAGAAAUUUCAUACUUCCAGGUUCCUUUUUGUCAUUCCGGUUAUACCCAGAAAGUCAAAACUCUGAGAGUCAAGUUUUGGUAUAAGAUAGUAUUGCAAGUAUGCCACUGAUGUGAAAAGCCAUGCAUGCUUCGAUUGGGGAUGCAAGUUGCUGCUGCUCCAAUUUAUCGAUUUGUUUUUGCUGUUGUGUUUUCCUUCCAUUUCUGUUCGGAAGUAAUAUUUUCAAAUAUGAAUAUUCUUGCCUAUAUUUGUUAGCUUCAGAUAUGUUAGUAGAUGAGGUUGAGUGCAAGGACUAAUUUUCAACUUAAAAUACAAAUUUCACUUUAUGAUGUUCUUGCUGGAGGUUUCUUUUGUUCAUGGAAUUAAUUUAUCCGAAUGAUAGACAUUGUUACGAA